GUUAUAAUUUUUUGAAAAAAAAUGUAAUUUCGUAUAAUUUAAUUUUAUUUAAAAUUAAUAAAGUAAAAACGCUAAUGUAUUAUUUGAUAUUAGAUUAGUUAGUUGGUGAAAUAAUAGUUUACCAAGACUAUGAUCUAUAGCUGUUUUGAGAGAAAUAUCAGCCACAUUGGGAUUGAGAUAAUGCUCAAACUUCUACGGAAGGCAGCAGUGAGGAAUAUUGGACAAUAAGCGAAAGCUUGAUCCAGCGAUAUCACGUGUGCGAAGAAGGUUUAAAUAAAUUGUAAAGCACUUUUUUUUAAAACUAUAAUGAAGUUUUAAAAGAAUAAGUACCGGCUAAUUACGUGCCAGCAGCAGCGGUAAAACGUAAGGUGCAAGCGUUAAUCGGAAUUAUUGGGCGUAAAGUGUAUGUAGAUUGAUUAGUGUGAUAUUUAUAAAAUCAUAAAACUUAAUUUUAUAAAGUAAAUAUUACUACUAAUCUUGAGUUUAAAUGAGAAAAAUAGAAUUUUACAAGUAGCAGUGAAAUGCAUAGAUAUGUAAAGGAAUACCAAAGGCGAAAGCAAUUUUUCAAUUUAAAACUGACAUUGUAAUACGAAAGCAUGGGGAGCAAACAGGAUUAGAUACCCUGGUAGUCCAUGCCCUAAACUAUGUCAACUAAUUAUUGGUAUCUUUAAUUUAGCUAACGCGUUAAGUUGACCGCCUGGGUAGUACGAUCGCAAGAUUAAAACUCAAAGGAAUUGACGGGGACCUGCACAAGCGGUGGAUGAUGUGGAUUAAUUCGAUGCAACACGAAAAACCUUACCUACUCUUGACAUGUAUGUAAAUGAUUUGAGAGAAUUGUUGUAACAUAACACAGGUGUUGCAUGGCUGUCGUCAGCUCGUGUCGUGAGAUGUUUGGUUAAGUCCUAAAACGAGCGUAACCCUUUUUCUUUAUUCUACAGAAAAUUAAGAAUACUGCCAUUAAUUGAAAUGGAGGAAGGAAAGGAUGACGUCAAGUCAUCAUGACCCUUAUGAGUAGGGCUUCACACGUCAUACAAUGGUUAUUACAAAGUUUUUUUAUUAAAAAUAACCUCAGUACAGAUUGUAUUCUGCAACUCGAAUACAUGAAGGAGGAAUCGCUAGUAAUCGUGAAUCAGCAUGUCACGGUGAA
RNAcentral lists this ribosomal RNA (1147 nucleotides) under Candidatus Vidania fulgoroideorum. RNAcentral describes it as "bacterial SSU rRNA". It matches the Rfam family "Bacterial small subunit ribosomal RNA", at positions 140 to 1366 of the family's 1533-position model. The record is from RNAcentral. Lineage: Bacteria; Pseudomonadati; Pseudomonadota; Betaproteobacteria.